CAUCAACAGCGCACACUCAUCUUUUUUUUUGGACCAGUCUUCUCCCUCAUUUUUAUGUAUAAAAACUGAUUAAAAUAAAUAUAAAAAAAAAUUUCUUGUGUAAUCAAAUAGUGUAUUUUUUAGGCCUAACACUUUUUAUGUCCAUAUUUAUGACGUAUACCGGUCAAAAAAAUUCGUGAAAAUAGCCUUAUCUUUGCCCGUCUAAAGAGGGUAAGGUUAAGUAACAUUUAUUAUAUACACCACAUUAAUAUUUAUUUUGCAUCAGAGUCUAUUAGAAAUUCAAUAAAGCGGGCAAUCAUAUUACAUGUGUACAUAGAGUUUUUAAAUAGAUCUCGGCAAAUAAUUCCUAAGAGGCCGCGUGCUUUUAGUCGCUGGUUAAAUGUGAAGCUAUACGGACACCUCAACCGCAAAUUUAGACCAACAAAUCGUAAUAAAAAAUUUAAUGGCAGUCAAUUAUUUACAACCAGUAACAAUGGCCAACCCACUAGUUGGACCCGAGCCCACAACACUGAUCUGUCCUUCCUGUAAGGCCAGCGUAACAACCCGAGUGGAUCACAAGGCAACCACAAGAACCCACUUAGUGGCUCUAAUUCUAUGUGUAUUAUUAUGCUGGCCUUGCGUUUGCGUUCCAUAUUGUGUCAAUUCUUGCCUAAACGCUGAUCAUUACUGUCCGAGCUGCAACGCCUACCUUGGAACCUAUAAAAGAUAACAAAAACGCUUAUGUUUAAUCAAAGUAUUGUCUAUGGAAAUAAGUAUAACUAAUCCCCUCCACACACUUGAAGUUUAAAACAGGAAACAUGUUUAAACAAAAUUUUCUACCGAUUGUUUUAUAAACAACUGUAAAGGAUUAUUUACAUUACACCAAGUUGAGGCCAGACCUUGAAAUAGAUGAUGCUAAAUCUACAACUACAGAAUAUUUUAGCGAGAAUUAAUUCAUAUAAGUGGGGUGGGUCCACACCUUAUACCGGUCGUCCAAAAUAUCAGUAUUUGGCGGCAGACGCAACAUGAACGUGACAUCGCCCAUUUCGGAAGCGAUUUUACCAAAAUUAAAUAAUCUUAAUAUUUGACCAUGAUCAAGGCACUACCUGGCUGAUAUGGUGUAAUAUCAAAAAUCCUUAAAUGCUAAAGUAAUAUGACGGUUGUAUAUCAAAAUAUAACUGAAUAUACAAGAACAAACAAUUUAGGUAGACUCAUUUAAAAAAAAAGAUUUUGACAAUAAUAACGAAAUAAUAAUUUAAAAUUUACUAUUUAAAGAUUAUAUUUUCCAAUUUUACCUGUGUAAACGAACGGUACGAAAUAGUAGUUAUCGGAUUUCGAGACAUCGUUUUCGGUUUUAUCAAAAAUAUGACACUUUAUUCUUUCUUUUUACUUUUUUUACUCAUCACAACGAAAAUACGUUACUGUUGAACUGCGUCAAGUUCUUGACCGCUAGUAAAAACAGUGCUUUAUUAUUAAUUAAUAUGAAGUUAAUAAUAGUUUUAUAUUUUGCUAUUGUUUUAACGCUAUUCGCGUUGACUAUAGAUAUAGUUUAGUAUCUCUGUGUUAUUCCCUUAUAAAUAUAGUCAAAUCAUAUGCAGUAAUUUUGGCACAAUUACCUGCGAGUGAGUGUAAGUUAUCAAAAAAUUUCUGACGUUGGAUCUUUGGAGUGUUUCAGACAUCAAAAUGCAUAUGGUUCCCAACAGGUAUGUAUAAGAUACCAGAGCCAGGAUUAUUACGGCCUUUAUUUUAUAGUGGUCCUUGGCGUGGCGGAUACGUGCGGUGCCGUUGUUGCCGGUGAUACCACGUGGCAAGAUUUUGUGAGUUGGCUGCCAGGACCCCAACAUCUACGAUAAAGAACUGCUCAACCUCUUCGAAUCAGCAUCGGGAUUCUUCCCUCUCUGACCGAGCAACCCACGUGUCAGAAUUAAUUCGAAACCACAGUCUAGCUUAAAUUAAUAUUAGAUUAAUCAAAAAAUGUAUUUCGGUCCAUAGUGUAGAUUUAAAAUAAUUUUUUGUUGUGUUAAACUCGUUCAUUUAGUCAAUAAAAAGGAAGAUAAAGUUGUUUGUUCAUUCAAAUUUGUAUUAAGCUUAAAAUUGUGUUCCCUUGUAUUAAAUUACUUGCUACAUUAGUUUAAUUUGAUUUUGUUCUCCAAUCUCCAUCCAACUUUUUUUAAAUAUAUAUUUACCUCUCUGUGAUUUAGUUCGUCGCUUUAAAAAAGAAUUAAUAUUCUCUUAUUAUAUGCUCCUUUAAUUUAAUUACAUUCGCAUAUAUUUAUUACGUUUUUUUUUUAACGCGCGACACUGUUUUUACAUUUGUAUCCAACCACGAUUAUGUAUCUAGCCUUAGUAACAUUAAUUUGCCUAACAGUGUUAUUAAGUAAACUCUAUAUUUUAAUGGUACGAAAAAUUACAACAUUUUGAAAAAAAUUAUAGUUGGUAAAAAAAAAUCUUAACUAUAUCAAUUUAGUACGUUUUUUAUUAAUAUAAAUCGAUAACAAAAACGAAUUUACAUUCAUUAAUUACACUAUAUCUCAUUGGCCUUAGUCCUUCUAUUGCAGACGAUUUAGACAGUAUCAGACAGACACUAUGUCACCUAGGACACUCCUCAGGAAAACGCAGAGUUGCCUAAACUCUGCGCCACCCUCUCGACCGCACUGGCUAGGCCCACAGGAACGACGGGUCGUUACGUGG
This 2670-nucleotide unclassified non-coding RNA is filed under the name Melitaea cinxia (Glanville fritillary). RNAcentral's name for it is "misc RNA ENSMCXG00005005387.1". Lineage: Eukaryota; Metazoa; Arthropoda; Insecta; Lepidoptera; Nymphalidae. The record is from RNAcentral.